AGUGAACGCUGGCGGUAGGCCUAACACAUGCAAGUCGAACGGCAGCACAGUAAGAGCUUGCUCUUACGGGUGGCGAGUGGCGGACGGGUGAGGAAUACAUCGGAAUCUACUUUUUCGGGGGGGAUAACGUAGGGAAACUUACGCUAAUACCGCAUACGACCUACGGGUGAAAGCAGGGGAUCUUCGGACCUUGCGCGAUUGAAUGAGCCGAUGUCGGAUUAGCUAGUUGGCGGGGUAAAGGCCCACCAAGGCGACGAUCCGUAGCUGGUCUGAGAGGAUGAUCAGCCACACUGGAACUGAGACACGGUCCAGACUCCUACGGGAGGCAGCAGUGGGGAAUAUUGGACAAUGGGCGCAAGCCUGAUCCAGCCAUACCGCGUGGGUGAAGAAGGCCUUCGGGUUGUAAAGCCCUUUUGUUGGGAAAGAAAAGCAGCAUGUUAAUACCCCGCUGUUCUGACGGUACCCAAAGAAUAAGCACCGGCUAACUUCGUG
Molecule: ribosomal RNA, 492 nt
Filed under: uncultured bacterium
Lineage: Bacteria
Description: partial 16S ribosomal RNA
Rfam family: Bacterial small subunit ribosomal RNA
Source: RNAcentral